CACUCCAGUGGCCUAGUAGUUAAUGCAUCUGCCUCAGAUGCAUGAGGUUGUGGGUUCGAUCCCUAGUUGAGUCA
This is a non-coding RNA of Potamilus streckersoni, 74 nucleotides long. Lineage: Eukaryota; Metazoa; Mollusca; Bivalvia; Unionida; Unionidae. The record is from the annotation of a GenBank genome assembly.